CGAACGAUGCCCAGUUAACCGCCGACCACCCUCACCGCCCACCUAAUACCUAUUAGGCACCAGCACGAGCGUCGAGCACACUCCCGGCGGCCGGCACUUUCAUUAGUUCCAUUCAGAGCAUCGAAACCGACUCACAAGAAAGAUAGAAGCGACAGCAUUCACUGAUUGCUGAGUGUCUUAUCUAUUUUCUAUGCUGAGUGCUGACACAGGCCAGUAAGCGACAGCAACUACACAGCACUCUUCAAGACACCGCCUGGUUCAUCCGCGUCCGCUGUCGUCAAACUCUCUUCCACGACAAUACCGAAAGAAAACCUGAAACAGACUGCCAUCAUCACGUUGUCGCUUAGUUUUUCGAGGACGCCUCUCAACAACUAAUACAUAUCAACAACAGGUCAUUUGCAUAAGAUAUUUUAAAUAUGUCAUCGUCAUCAAGAUACAGAGAUUCUGGUAAUCCAGAUUGCAAAAUAUAUGUUGGUGAUCUAGGAUCAUCUGCAUCCAAACAAGAUUUAGAGGAUGCUUUUUCAUAUUAUGGUUCAAUUCGUAAUGUAUGGGUUGCCCGUAAUCCUCCUGGUUUUGCUUUUGUUGAAUUUGAGGAUCCAAGAGAUGCAGAAGAUGCAGUUAGAGGUUUAGAUGGCAGGAGCAUUUGUGGUAGACGAGUGCGAGUAGAAUUAUCUAAUGCUGGAUCACGUAAAGGUGCUUAUAGAGGAGGCCCACCUCGUCGAGGACGUCCAUUCCAUCCUGAAGACAAAUGUUAUGAAUGUGGUGAUAGGGGACAUUAUGCUCGUGAUUGUAGACGUUUUAAAGGAGGACGACGCCGGAUGUUCGGCUGAGAGCGUCUCGUCUCGUAGUGUCGAUCGUCGUAGAGCUCUCAACCAAAAUAAUAUAUUUUGAUCUACUUCGAGCAAUGUGUGUUAGUCGUCGGACUACGGCGCAACUAUCUGUCUGUCUGCGUUUAUCGAUGUACUCAGCUACACUAGAACCCCAUCGAGCCCAACCAACCUAAUGAUUUUUAUUCUGAUGCAUUAAUUAGCUAUCGGUGAACGUACACAGACAUUCAGAGACAGAAAGAGUUAUAAAUUAGAUCUGCAUAACGCCACUGACUGUCUACAUAGCAUUACCACAAUGUCAUUUUAGGAGAAUGUUGAACUUCGUUUUUUUAUGUCGUAUACUCCUUCUCGGUCUCGGUCACGAUCAUACAGCCGUAGUCGUCGUUCUCGUUCAGGUUCAAGAUCUCUUUCACGUUCCC
Molecule: RNA transcript, 1246 nt
Organism: Melanaphis sacchari
Lineage: Eukaryota; Metazoa; Arthropoda; Insecta; Hemiptera; Aphididae
Gene name: serine/arginine-rich splicing factor 7-like
Exons: 5
Source: RefSeq, a predicted model, not a curated record